Long non-coding RNA from Carassius auratus (goldfish), 1002 nucleotides. RefSeq lists it as uncharacterized. The record is from RefSeq and is a predicted model, not a curated record. NCBI's taxonomy places the organism in Eukaryota, Metazoa, Chordata, Actinopteri, Cypriniformes, Cyprinidae. The transcript has 3 exons.
AAAGAGCCUUUGUGUGUGAUGUCAUAUACAUUGCUUUGAUUUUUAGGGAUUACCGGUAAACCAAUAAACUACUUUGACUAGUGACUUUAACCAUUUGUUUUAUUAAUGUUUAUUCAUAAUGCAAUUUAUUCUGCUUACCUGACUCAUGCAGACUUCUGUCUUGAUGUUUGGCUGUGGUCCCCCCAUCAUUCACUCUUCGGCAACCGGUCUAUUUAUGGAGACCACCAUGAUCUAAUCUAUACCGAUCUAGUUGUCUCUUCUCCCACAAACUCCACUUUCAAGAGUACAGAAGUGUCAACAUGAGCUCCUGACCUCUCUGUGGCUCAGCUGUUUUAGGACUUUUUCAGAACUACAUCUUUUUUGGUCACCACAAUCAGGAUGUUCAGUGGGGAUUCAUCGCUGGAUUCCACCUAUGGAAAAGUUUAGGUUGGGAGUGUGUUGUCAUACCAGCAGAAACAACCUGCAUCAUUACUCACCAUCAUGAUGCCCCAUCACCACCACAUCUACCACUUAUUGGUUACAGCCUUGAUACAUCUGUCUGCUUGUUUGUCCAUAGCGAACAUAUUUGUUUUUGUAUGUAACCAACACACUUGUACAGGAAAUGUAACACGUUAUAUAUAUAUAUAUAUAUAUGUGUAACCGGCAGAGUAAUCGCUGUCUGGUUGAAGUUUGUCCCUCUGCAGCUACGGUUACCCCCUGACGUCACUCAGCUAGCCGUGAGUGGCUAAACAACUCAUUUGUGUCUGGCCAGUUGCUAUAAAAUCGUCUGCCUGUUGAGCUUAGAGAUAUUCUCUGAUGCACGAUACGUUUUCAGUCCUGUUGCUGCUUGGGUAUGUGGUUCUCCUGUGUCAAAGUGUUUUACUGAUUGCCAGACGCUUCCGGGUAAUCGCGCUGUGUAUUGCUGAAGGUCCUGGGCAAAGCACACGCCGGGUAGCUUUACCACAAUUUACUAGCAUCAAGAAGGUCUGGGGCAAAGUACCCGCCGUGUAGCUGUAACGUUAC